Small nuclear RNA from Phacochoerus africanus (Common warthog), 102 nucleotides. The record is from RefSeq and is a predicted model, not a curated record. Lineage: Eukaryota; Metazoa; Chordata; Mammalia; Artiodactyla; Suidae.
GUGCUGGCUUCGCAGCACAUAUACUAAAAUGGAAUAAUUCAGAGUCUAGCAAGGUCCCUGCACAAGGAUGACACACAAAUUCAUGAAGUGUUCUGGCUUUUU